CAGAGUGCAGAGUCCCUCCACUCAAGCCAUACCAUUACUUAAUUUUUUAUGAUGAUCUAAUUUCAAAAAUUCAUAAUUUAAAUUUUUUUUAAAUUUCUAAAUCCUAUAUUUUUCCAUCAUAAAACCAGCCAGCCACACCGGGCUGAGAGUUCAUGCAAUUUUAUUUUCAUCGUCUGCCUCCAGCACCCAUUUACUUUAUUAUUUCGAAAUUUCAUAUUUUAAUAUUUUUCAAAAAUUUCUUGUUGUGAGUCAUUUAAUUCUAAAAAAACAGUUCCAACAAGCCAUCAUCACACUAUUCAUUUUUUUUACUCCGUCAUCUUGCUCCGUUGAUUUUAAUGAUAAUUUAUAUUUCGAAAGUUCCUGAUCUUAGUUUGAAAUUUUAAAAUGCCUAAGAAGCCCUUUAGAGUUGCCCCCAUGGCGCUGCCAAGGUUGAUGACGAUUAAGGAGGAGGAGGAAGAAGAAGAAGGGGGGAAACCUCGGGGGAGACCGGUUUUUGAUUGGGAUCCAACCAAACCCGUAGCAAAUCAUUAUUUUUUUUAUGAAAUUUCAAUUUUUAUAUCAUCCCUUAUCAAUCAUGUUAUCAUUUUAUGAAUCAAUUUUCUUUCCAGCUUCCGCCUGCCGAGAUCCAGUUAAAAUUGGACCCCAACCUCACCAAAGUCUUGCCCCACGAAUAUGGCAAGUCACGCCUAUGCUCUUGCUGUUUUCUUCCCCUCCUGGGAAACCAAUGUCGUCGUCUGGGAUGGGCAGGCCGCCGGGUAAGCGCUUAUCAUCAAAGACGUCGUCCAACUCCCGUCCCUCCCUUUCCACUCCCGAUCGGCACCGGACGUCCGAAGCCACCACCCCGUCCCCCCGGCCAUCAAGAAGACGACACCGCCUUUGCCCUCAUGACCACCGAGAUCCACGGGCUUAUCGAUAAAAUGAUCGCUGAAUCGGAGAAGGACGACGAUAUCCUCGAGUUUAAUCGAUUAUCGAGAGAAAUAGACUGGCUGGUGACCCAAAUGCGGCCGGCGCCCCGAGUCGCGUCGCCAAUUCCGGAGGACCUCAACGCCAUCGGCGUCUUCGUCAAUGCGGCGAAUGCCAUUUUUCAUAAAAUAAUGUUCCUAAGAGCACAAGGGAUAAGUGAGGACUCGAUUUUCAACCUGGUUUAUAACACGGAAGAUUCCGCCGCUGACAAGAGCAAUUAAAAUGAUGCAUCGUUAGUAAAUUACCAAGAAGUCACAAAACAGUGCGAACAACGAAUGGCCACGGGGGAUGAAGAAGUUUUGAAGAUUGUCGCCCUUGAUUUGAUUAGAAUUUUACCAAAUUUUAGCGUUCACUAAUGUCGUCACCAAACAGUCCGAGUAACGAGUUGACCACGGGGGAUCAAGAGUUGAAGGGGAAUCUUUAUCGAUAAAAUUAUGGUUUAGACUAAACCGUUUAGUAAGAAGCGGUCAACAGCUAUCUCUCAUCUCAACUACCAAUGCACACAUAGCCCCGACCGGAAACCGGAACUGGAACUGUAUCUCGACAAAGAAAACUGGGAGCAACACACACGAGUAUGAAUGAUGCUUUAUUUUUAUAUCAGCAAAAAAAACAACAACGUUACAUCAUAAUUUUAUUUUGAUUUUCAAGAAUUUUUAGUAGCUACAGAAAAACUCUUGUUCAAAAUUUGACUUUUUAACCUUCCCAAUUACCAUUUUAGGUGGUCGUGUUACGUACAUACAUGUGAUUUCAUACCAAUUAUUCCAUUCUAGUUAGAAUUUUGUUUAGUCUUUGAAUACAAUUUAUCCCCGUGUGUGCCGAAAUCGUAAAUGAAUUGUAAUUAGUCCUUAAUUUUUUGAGAUUUAUCAGGGUUUUUAAGAAGAAAAUUGUUAAACUAACAUUUUUAUAGCAUAGUUUCAACAUAAUAUCAAUAUGUAAAUAAUCCAAAAAUCUCGUACCUUUUGAUACAUGAUGAAAAUUACGAGACUGAACACAAAAUUUGGCUGACCGGUUAAAUUAGUUAAAUUAUUAGUUUUUAAAUGGUGAUCAUCAUUUGAUUUAGUGAGUUGCAUUCUAUGUAAAUAGUUGUAAAUUUGUUUAACGUUUUUUCAUAUAAUUAUUUUAUUUUGUAAAUUUUGGGGUAAUUUUUAUAUAGAAAAUGUAACUUUGUGUACGAUUAAUUAGUUAAAUUAAUUAAAAAUA
This is a long non-coding RNA of Folsomia candida, 2163 nucleotides long. RefSeq lists it as uncharacterized. The record is from RefSeq and is a predicted model, not a curated record. The transcript has 6 exons. Lineage: Eukaryota; Metazoa; Arthropoda; Collembola; Entomobryomorpha; Isotomidae.